CGUCCCAUUGGGCCCCACGGGGCCCACAUCCUACCCCACAGGGCUUCACAGCUUUGUCUCCACACACCUCCUCUCCUCUCCUCCACACACCUCCACACACCUCCUCUUCCAGAAAUGAUCUGGAAGGAUCAUUUCAUUGUGCUCAUCACCUUGGGAAAGGGCCAUGAUUCAUUGUAGCUGCUCUGAAAAUGGUGUUGGUUCUGGGAUGGAGUGAGGCGGCCUAAGGAUGCUGAAAGGUGGAGAGGCCUGCUCUCCUUUCUCAAUGUGAAUUUUGGAGCUCUUCCAAAAGAAUUUUAAAAAUUUGAGAAUUGAACACUGCCUGGAAGGAAAGAAAAAGAAAGAAAGAAAAAGAAAGAGAAAGGAAGGAAAGAAGGAAGGAAGAGGAAGAAAGUAGUUAAGACAAAGGUAUCACAGGUAAGCCGACUGAAAGAAAACACAAAAGGUUUUUUUUUAAACAUGACAGCGGCAACAAGACUUUUAUAUGCACAGAAUUGGAAAGAUACACAAAUUCUCACGCCUGAAGAGUGGAUCAUGAAACUAAUGGAACUGGCACAGAUGGGAAAAUUGACUACUUUGAUGAAAGACAAAAGUUUUUCUAGGUUUGUUUCUACUAGGAGAUCAUGUUGAAUGUCUUGGUAGAGUGAGAUGAAAAUGAAGUUUUGGUUUUAGAAUGUGAUGAUUAGAUUUGUUAUAACUAUAUAAAUAUUGGGCAUUUUUAUCAUUACUAGAUGUAUAUUUUUUAAUAUUUAUGUUUAAACAGAAGUUAUUUUUAUAUCUAACUUUUGUGUGUUUGUGAUUAUUUGGUCUGUAUGUUGUUUAUAUGCUUUUAUUUUAAUCUAGAGUAAGUGGUUAUUUUGUUAUAUAUUUUUAUCUGUACUGAAGUCAGAAGUCAAUUUUUUGUAUCUCUUUCCACCCUUUUUUCUUCUUUUUUCCCUUUAAUCCCUUUGCCUUUUUUUAACCUUUUUGUAUUUGUUAUUUUGUAUUUUAAUGGUGUUUGAAAUUUGAAAUUGAGUAAAGUUUGUUUUUAAAAAACCCAAAUAAAGCAUUGAACAAAUAGCAACAAUAUAAUCCAAUAGCAUCACAUCAAUUUCACCUCCAUACAAACAACACAACAGUUCUGUCAUAUCCCAGUGACAGUUGUGAAGGUCUGUGGGAAUCUGAGUUGUGAAAUUCAUCUAAGGUAGGAAUCCUUUAAAUAAGUGUUUCUCAACCUUAGAUACUCUAAGCAAUCUGGACUUCAAAUCCCAGAAUUCCCACACCAAUAUACUGGACUAGAGAAUUCUGGAAGCUGAGGUCCACGCAUCUUGCCAAAGUUGAGAAACACUGCUUUAAACAUUGCAAGAUUCUUUAUUACCUAUAUUAAUAUUAAUAGAUAGUAAGCAAAUAAUAGAGGUUGCCAUUUGUUAAAGUUAUUAAACUAAAAAUCGAUUAUAUAUCUCUGAUCAGUUUUAUUUGUAAUUGCAAACUCUACAAAACACCAGUAAAAGCACUAAAUGUUUUAUUCCACAUGACAGAAGACAUACAAGUGAAUAUUAGGACAGAAGAGAUGCUUGGACUACUUUCAAAUGCAGUUGGGUUGGAUGAAUAAUUCUGUUUCCUAUGAAUGCAUGUUGUUUCAUUUUAAAGUAAACAUUUCUGUCUCUCACGGGUGCAAAAUCAAACUAUGCAUGUAAUCCCCAAGGAAAUAUUACCAUGUUUCCCCAAAAAUAAGACCCUGUCUUAUAUUGUUUUGAACCCUGAAAUAAGCGCUUGGCCUUAUUGCCAUGCACUCAAAGGCCUGAUUGGGCUUAUUAUCAGGGGAUGUCUUAUUUUGGGGGAAACAGGGUAGAAAUUCGACAUGGAAUUAGAUUUUUAUUGGAUAGGAAGGGGAAAAUGAUUUUGUGCGCUUAUUUAAUUCCUUAUCUUUUGAUGCAACUAAUGGAAUCAGAAAAAAAUGAAGCAUUAGAUACACAUAUAUCUGCAUAAACCAAUGAAGAAUGUAGAACAGUAUAUUAUUUGUACAGUAGUAGUAGAAAACAUGCCUAAAAUAGAAUGUGAGUAAGAUGUGACACACAGGCCACCUAAUCCACUCCCUAUUGCUAGAGGGUCACCAAUUGAAAGCUAUCCAUUUGAACACAAAAGCAUCAAGUAAGAAAAACCUUUGAUUGUCAGCCAGAAUAGUCAAAAAUCUAUGAUAGAGGAAAGUGAAUUGACCCUGUUGUGAAAAUAUCUGGCCUUUUCCUUGAAAUGCUCAGUUGGUUAUUGAUUUAUUGUUAUUUUUUUAAAAAAAGAAUGUCUCAAAAGUCCUUUAACUUAAAUAAAUGUAAGUAAAGUUAUGAAGAUGCCAUUCAGCUUUAGUUGCUUUCUCAGAAACAAAUGAGCUUUGUCUUUUAAUCAUUUGGCCAACAGGGCCCCAAGCCAUUGGAAUAACAACUGAUGGCUGAUU
Molecule: long non-coding RNA, 2425 nt
Organism: Ahaetulla prasina
Lineage: Eukaryota; Metazoa; Chordata; Lepidosauria; Squamata; Colubridae
Exons: 3
Source: RefSeq, a predicted model, not a curated record